GCCACCCGCCAGCUCUGCUCGCGCAGGAAGCGCUCCCGGGAGCGGCUCCGCGGGGGCCGCCAGCCCAGGCACUGCAUGGUCGCUGGCCCGACCUCUGUCCUGCCCCUCGGCUGGCCGGGGCCCGGCCUAGGCAGGGAACCCUGGGAGGGAGGCACCAUCAUUAUCCCCAUUUCACUGAUGAGGAAACUGAGGCAGACAGAGCCCCAUUCAGCCUGGUGAGUGUUUGAGGGGGGAUUUGAACUGAGGUCUUCCUGUGUCUGGGCCAUGGACUGAUUCCUGCCAAACGAGACCAAAGGGUCUCCUGCUUUUUGUGCUCUUUCACUGUCUUGAUCGCAUCACUGGAACUCACAACCCAGGAGUCCCAUUCAAUUCCUCUCCUCCCUCACCCUCAUGGCCAAUCUGCCACCAAAGGCAGGCAAUUCUCUGUCCAGCCCUGCUCCCAGCUCUGUUCUCCCACCACCACCGAGUCCAGACACCUCAAUUCCUUCAGCAGCUCUCCCCUCUCCCAGGGUGCCAAGACAAUGUGCUGGAGGCCCUGGGCUUGACCUUCCUCCUGCCCCACCUCCUCCCCAGGAGCAGGGGCUGCUGCUUCUCUAGUCUAGAGGGGGGAGACAGGAAAGUGGGACUGGAAGCCCACCAUGGAAAUGAGGCUCCCCCUGGGAGAAAAGAAAGACUACUGAGCUGCAUUCGAAUCCUGCUUCUCAUGGCCCGGUGACCUUGGGCAAGUCACUCAGGGUUUCAGUUUUGCGUCUGUAAAAUGGGAAGACUAAUACUUAGUCUAGGGCUCAGGAGGCAUUCGGAGCACUUCCUAAGGGCCUGGCAUGUGCCGGGUGUUAGGGAUGUCCCACAUGUGGCAGUCCCUGGCCUCGAGGACCUUCCUUCCUACAGAGAGGCAACAAUUCCCAAGUACCUAAGCCACGCUAUCGAGGGGGGCCAGCAAUGGGUGCUGGGAGCACGGCCGGUGUCUGCAGAGGACUUUGCUUUCCGUUCGCUUUGGAGGAAAGAACCUCGUCCAGCUUCCAGGGCUUCCUUGCCCAGGGGAGUGACUGGCUGGCUGGACCAGGAGCCGCUGGGAUGCCCUCACCAAGGAACACCGGGGAAGAGGGUGACCCAGGUCCCAGAGGACGGACUUCCCCCUCCCAGGCUCAGGCCCUUCCCUUUCCCUCAGGCUCAGGCAGGGCAGUCCUAGAGCUGGAAGGGACCCUCAGCAAGCCUCCACUUCAGUGGCUUCCUUCUACAGGAGAGGAGGGAAGGGACCCUAAAGUUACUCCACAGGACCGUGAUGGCUGGCUGGCUCUGGACCCCUUCAGCCCUGGCAUCCGGGGGUUCCCGAUGAGUGCCAAGGGAGCAGGAAGCUCAGGGCUGAGGGUCUGAACCAGAGACGGAUGCCCCCAGGACCUGGGCUGUUGCCGCUUCCCAGGCCAGGCAAAGAUUCUGAAAAUGUUGACAAGAACGUGAGAGGCCUUUAAGGUAAGAGAUGUCCCAGCCAAUCGUUCAAACACUAGACACAGGGAGAUGGGUUUGGGAGAGAAACCCAGGAAGGCUUCCUGGAAAAGGUGUCAGGCAUUCUGGGGAGAAGGGCAAGAGUUGAGUGCAGAAGAUAACCAGGAGCCCUCCUCAACUGAAAUCUCCACUCUGGAACCCUCUCCUGGUUUUCAGUUCAUUUCUCUCUUGGUAGUUGGGAGCAUUUGUUUCCCGUGACUCUUGAUGGCGGUGUGCAUGUCCUUCCUUAAGAAUUCUGGAAUGGGAAGUGGGCCCAGCACCAGCCACAGGGAGGAAGAGGAGGAAGAGGAGGAGGAGGAGGAGGAAUUUCACUCUUACUCUAGAGUAAGAGGGUCCCACCUCCUGUCAUCAGUCUGGCAAAACCAAUCAUGAAGGAAAAUGGCACAUGCUGGCAGGGCUGUGGGAAAACAGGUCCCUAUGGAUGGGUCACGCUUCUGCCCCAUGUAACUGCUCAUUCACUUGGCAUAUACUUUGGGGCUCCACACUGCCUCCCUGAGAGGAUCUCAGCUUCUUCCGUUGCCUUUUAGUCUCUUCCGCCCUACCACCCAGUGCCCAGAACACAAGAGGGGCUUAAUAAAUGCUUGUUGACUGACCAGCCCAAGAGACUGACUCCCUGCUUGGAGCACGUGCUCGCCAUGUGGCUGAGGGAGGUGCCCUUGUGUGGUGGGCACUGUGAGGAAGAAAGGCAGUGAUGAGUGAGUAAGGCUCCCCCUCCUCUUCCUUGAGUGGAAGAUGGCGUCACACAGGAUUUGCAGCCAGGGCAGGGAAGGACUUGGCCCUCUGCUCUCUCUUCCCAACUUCUCUAUGACUGUCGAAGGCACCAACAUCCUCCGGGGUACCCAAGCUCACAGCCUCCAGAUUGUCUGCUGCCAAGACUUGUGGUGUCUACUGCUCCAGCCAGGCCCAGGAGCUGGCUCUCAUGGCCUCCCCCUGGGAUCACUGUCAUCCCUGCCUCGAGUCUAGCCUUCACACAGCUGUUGAGGUGAUUUUCCCAAUCACGUAAGCAGAUCUGGGAGAAAAUGUAUGCGGUGACAGCAACAUUGCCAAGAAAACAUCAGUGAAAGGCUUUACCCCGAUUGAUGCAAUGCCCAGCUUCAGUGACAGGACAAACAUCGACGCCUAUUGGUUGACUCUUUAGGGCCCUGUUUGAAGUUUUCUUGGCCGAAACACUGCAGUGGUUUGUUUUACAGAUGAGGAAACAGAGGCAAACAAGGUUAGAUGACUUGCCUAGGGUGACACAGCGUCUAGGCUAGAUUUGAACUGGGGAAGAUUCUUCCUCCGGACUCCAGGACCAGUGCCCUGUCCACAGUGCCACCUAGAGGCCCAAUGAAGACUACUGCCCACCUUCUAACAGGGGUGAUGAACUCAGCAUGCAGACUGAGACCUAUUUUCAGAUUUGUUUUGCUUGAAGUCUUGUUUGUAACAGGAAGAAUGACUCCUCAAUGCCAAAAGUCCUAGGUUAGUAUCUUGAAAAGUCAUUAGGAGAAUGGGGUGUGCUCAGCUGGGUUGAGGGAACAGAGUCACACCCUGUAGGGUGGUCUAGAAACUCCUGAGCCAGCUCGUAACUCGAGGACAUCAGGGCAUAGGCAAUAAGGAGUUAACAGUCACCACCUAAGAAAGUGGCACAAUGAAGGCAGCAUUUAUAGCAGUGUUGUGUGUGGUAGAUGGGGGGGGGGGGGGAGGAGGAGCAGGAAAACAUGUUAGGACAUUACUGCAAAAGUCCAGGCAAGAGUCCAGGCCCUUGACUAGGGUGGGGUGGCAGAGGUAGAAAAGAACAGGCAGUCAUGGGAGGAAUAUUAUGAAAGAAACACUGUUGACUAACUUGGUGUGAGGAGCACGGGCUAAGGAGGAAUCCCAAAUGACUCACAGCAUCCAAGCCUGGAUGAUCAGGAGAAGAUUGGGCUAUUGCCAAAAAAUGGGGAAUCAGGAGGAAUUGGGGAGCCCACUAGCAGGCACCCCCCCCAAGGAGAUGAGUAAGAAAGAAGCGUCUCAUACACAUGAAAAUAUCUGUCUGUACUUUCUGUGGGAGAACAAACUGGAAACAAUGUACCUAUCCACUGGGAAAUGGCUGGCCAAAUUGGGGCAUGUAGAUAUAUAAUGGAGCAUUACUGGAACAGUUCAGAUCCUGCUUGCCACCCUCCCCCCACCUCCCUGGGGCCUCACCUUCUUCAUCUGUAAAAUGGGUGGUGGUGGCCUCUCUAUAGAGCCUCCGAGGUCCCCAUUCUAGAUAUAGACCCACCGAAUAUAGAGAAUCUUAUAUAACUCGGGGCAGGGAAACAGAAUGAACACUAUAAUACAUAACUUGAUGAAAUGAAAAACGAAAGGCUGCUGAAUGCUCCCAAUGAUCCGAAUUCAUUUGGGCCCCAGAGGAGAGAUGGGAAACGCACUUCAGCUAGAAAGGUAGAGUCCCUGGGCUGGGCUGGUGUAUACACUCUCAGAUGUGGCUGCUGCUACUCUGCUUGAAUGGGCUCUGCACUUGGAGGGAGGGCCCCAGGAGGCGGGGUGAAGGAGAGAGCACUGCUGGAAGGGGUGGCUUGAGCCCCCCCACAGGAAGGAACCAAGAGGGGAUGAGAUGGUGGGGGAGAGCCAAGAAUAGAGCAGAGGUCUGCAGCUCCCCUCCUUCAGAGUGGGGAGAGGGAAUGGGGAGACCAAGUCAGGGACAAGAGAAGGAGAGCCCCAAAGCCACUGAGAAGCAGAGUGAGUAGAAGAAAUCUCUGCCUUUGCCCCCAGCGUGCAUUCCUGGCAUCGGGGUGGCUGACCCUCCGGCUGCCCACUGCUGCCAGCCAGAGCAGGGCCUCGGGAAGCAGAAUGAGGCCAGCCUUGAUGGACGGCUGAAGGCGCCAUCAGUUUGUCUUGUCUGUCUCUGUGUUCCAAGGGGUUCUUUUGGAGGGGGGGAAGGUUGGAAGGAGGGAGCUGGGGUAAGGCUGGCCGGAAAAGCAAAAGUCUAAGGGGUCACAGAAGGAGCUGGGGAAGUUACACACUGGCUGGCUGGCUGGCUUGCUACUUUAAGAGACAAGCCAGCCGCACACAAGACAUUCAAUGUUUCAGAGGGAGUCUCUCGCUUUUGUUCAUUAGGCACAAAGAAAACCACUUUGUUUAGUGCCCAGUAAGUUCUGAACGUCCAAAAAGCUUCAGAAGAAAAUACGAGAGUGCUCACUGGCAUUCCUGCAACUGUUAAGUUGGGCAAAGCAGUCCACUCUGGAUCCUUGCCAUGGCCCUGGGGGCAGAUGAGGAAACUGAGGCCGAGGGAAGUGGUCACUUGCCCUGGCUCAUACAAUGGGAGUAUUGGAGACAACCUGAUCUCUUGAGCUGUUCCAGGCCUGCUGAACGGGGGAGAGAAGUGGGAGAGGCCAGAGGACAGCCGGAUCCCCCAAAGGUUGCUGGGCAGGGUGGCGACAGAAGGAAAGCAGACUGGGCAGUAAUGACAAUAGCUGUAAGAAGAGGAGGAAGAAAACCUGACAGGCCUAGACAGGGUAGCAGAAAGAGAGGAAGUGAGGAGUACAAAGGCCAGAGCUGAACAGCUCUCUCCUGCUCUGGAAAAUUCACAGAGCCCUGCGAUGGGAAGAUUCGGGAGAGGACCAGCCUGGGGGGGAUGGAGGGGCAGGACAGAACCUGGGGAGCCUUCUGAGGGACAAGUGCCAGCAAUGAGUGGGGAAGGAAUGGAGGCAGCAGGCUUAAGGGAGCCAGAGUCAAAACCUCCCGACAACUGGAGCUGCUGCCCAGGGGGCCAGGCUGUCUCUGAGGGAUGGACGGAACUCCAUCGCUGAGUGGUUUCAGGUAGAGUCCAGGAAAGCUUGGACCCAGGAUGCUCUGCUACAGGAAGUCCGCCCCACUAAGAGUCUGUUACUUGAGUGACCAGGGUUGUCCAAAGUUAUGGACAGGGCUGCAGGGUGGCUCAGUGAACAGAGAACCAGAGAUGGGAGGUCUUGGGUUCCUAUCUGGCCUCAGACACUUCCUAACUGUGUGACCCUGGGCAAGUCACUUACCCUCCAUUGGCUAGCCCUUACUGCUCUUCAGCCUUGGAAUGGAUACUCAGUGCCGAUUCUGAGACACACAAGGAGGGUUUGAACAAAUAGUUAUGGACAGUUCGAGGAGGCAGAGCUUCCCAGGGAUCUCCAGGCUUAGGCAUUCUCUAUGUGCAGGCUGAUGCCCCUUGGGGCUUUGAUUUCCCUGAACCCGGGGACUGCAGGGUGCCCUGCCCCCUUCAAGGGCCAUUAGACAGUCUGGGCCCUGUUCUCCGACUGUCAGGUCACCCACCUUGCAGGCUGGCUCAGCCAUGCUCAGUAGUAGUGGCAGAGAAAUGGGCUUGACAGAAAACACCAUCGAGGUAAUGCAGUGUCUGCCGUUUGGACCUCGGUGGGAAACCCAGAAUUGGAUCCUGCCUCAGAUUCUCAAGAGCCAAGCAAUUCUAAGAAGGUGACACCUUCCCUCAGUUUCCUCGUCUGUAAAAUGGGGCUAUUGGUGGCACCUAGAAUGAAGUGAGGAGAGAAAUGGCUGCCACUAAUGUUAUUAUGCAUUUGUUAGACAAACUGAGGCUCAGGGAGAUUAUUAAGGCACUGGUCCAGGCUCACAUCCCUCUGGAGGAAGUAUCUGAUACUGGAUCUGCCCCCAGGCCCACCUGACCUGUCACUUGGGUGACCUUGGGCCAGUCACUUCUCUCCAGGUUUCAGCUUUCUUCUCUGGAACACAUGAACUGGGGAAAGCACACCAGAUUUGGACACAGAGAACUUGGGUUCAAAUCCUGUCUCUGGGACAUGGGAGGAUUUGCCUCCCCUCUCAGGGCCUCAGUCUCCUCAUCUGUAAAGUGAUGGCUUCAUGGCUGUUACCAAAGCCCAAGGUGUCAAGAGAGCACCAAUAAGGGGUGGAUUGAGCUAUUGCAGUCAGCAAGAUCUGAGUUCAAAUCCAGCCUCGGACACUUAUAGCUGUGACCCUGGGCAAGUCACUUAACUUCUGUUGCUCAGCAGAAGGAGGAAAGGGCAACUCCCUCUGGCGUCUUUGCCAAGAAAACCCUCUGGACCUGGGGGGGGGGGGGUCAAGUAGUCAGGCUGAGCCGCAGCAGAAGGAAGGCUCCCUCCUCCCAGCUCCCUCCCUCCCUCCCGAUCUCUAACUACUCUGCUCUGUAUUCCCGGCGGACCCCUGGCCCACCCAGGCUCUGAUGGGGGAGGGGAGGGGUUAUGGGCGUUUCGGACCUCCCUCAGCGGAGCAGCCCCCCCGAGGGGCCGGGAAGGUGGGGCUCCAAUCAGGUCCUGGCCUGACCCUCCUCAGGGCAAGCUGGACGCUGGAAGGCUCGGGGAGAAGCCAUUCGGGCCCGGAUCCGACGGCCCCAGAGAGAGGCGCCGCCCCCCGGCCCCCCGCCAGGCGUUCAGCGGCUUCUCUGGGCCCCGUCCCGGCAUUCUCCCCCGGACCUUCGGGGCUGAGGAGCGGUGAGGCUGGGAGGUCCCUUCCCUUCCCUGCGUGAGGCGGCGACGCUCGCCGUCCCGCCCCCCCCUCAAGCUGCCUCUACGCUAUUUCCCAGCCGGACACACCCCCUCCGGGGCCGGCGUAGGAGCCCGGCCGAGGGGACCGCAAGUGGCUCCACUGGGAGCCUCCAGCCAAGGUGGGUCGGCCGGCCUGGCUAGGGGAGGUCGAUCCUCCACCGCCUUCGGGAGCUUCCCCG
Long non-coding RNA from Monodelphis domestica (gray short-tailed opossum), 7159 nucleotides. RefSeq lists it as uncharacterized. The record is from RefSeq and is a predicted model, not a curated record. Lineage: Eukaryota; Metazoa; Chordata; Mammalia; Didelphimorphia; Didelphidae.